GAUCCUGGCUCAGGAUGAACGCUAGCUACAGGCUUAACACAUGCAAGUCGAGGGGCAGCAUGGUCUUAGCUUGCCAAGGCUGAUGGCGACCGGCGCACGGGUGAGUAACACGUAUCCAACCUGCCGUCUACUCUUGGCCAGCCUUCCGAAAGGAAGAUUAAUCCAGGAUGGGAUCAUGAGUUCACAUGUCCGCAUGAUUAAAGGUAUUUUCCGGUAGACGAUGGGG
Molecule: ribosomal RNA, 226 nt
Filed under: uncultured bacterium
Lineage: Bacteria
Description: partial 16S ribosomal RNA
Rfam family: Bacterial small subunit ribosomal RNA
Source: RNAcentral